This is a long non-coding RNA of Protopterus annectens (West African lungfish), 976 nucleotides long. RefSeq lists it as uncharacterized. The record is from RefSeq and is a predicted model, not a curated record. Lineage: Eukaryota; Metazoa; Chordata; Ceratodontiformes; Protopteridae. The transcript is spliced from 3 exons.
UUUUAAGCGUAGUUUUAGUCAGCAAUAAAAUAAGAGAAAAGCUAAGGAGAAACGACUACUCCCAGAAUCCUUCUUGCUGCUAGGGAAUAAAGUAUCAACGAAAGACGGUUGCUGAGAUUUCAGGGAGAGAAGUAUUUGAUUCCCCAUUAUGAGGUUCCCUGAAAUGUUACACAGAGAAAUGUAUGGCUGCAGCUGUAAUGGUUUGACUUAAACAGCUGGAAAAGAAGUUGGCAGUUUUGAAAUGAGCUAAAUGGAAGUUCAAGCUACAUUUGAAGACUUUAGAGCUUGAAGAAAUUUGUAAGCCUGUCUCUUCAGGUAACUGAAGAGUUUUAUGCUGGUAUAGUACUACAGAAAGGUGAACAAUCCUGAUGUGUCAUAGUUUCCUCUGGACAAGACUUUUUGACAGAAUUGGACCUCUACCUCUUCUCCUGAGCAAUUCAGUUUUAGUUGAUAUAAAUCUGUACAAAUCUAGCACAGUGUUUUGGACUUUUGUAUUUCUUAGCACAGGAGAAUGAUUGGUAUUCACAUGAUGUACAAUAGGAAGAGCAGACUGGCCUCUUGGAUUGGAAAAUUUGAGCUCAGACACUAAAAUGACAAACUUUAUGCCAACGUUUGGCACUGUUGCAUCUUGCUUUCUGAUUUUUCUUUUUCUGAAAUUGUUUGAAAAUGUCCAGAAAUAAUGUACUGGUACCAUAAUCAUCUCAGAUAUGAAGCUUGUCUUCAGCUGCUUCCAUGAGCAGUAAGUAGUCCCUAAUCAGUUGGCCUAUGCAUUGCUGUAUAUGGACAGACACCAAAUGUAAGAUCUCUGUUCAGUGUUUCGUUCGACAGCGUGGAUGUUUGAAAAAAUCAGUAAGUCAUGGAUGGAGAUGACAGCCUUCAAAUAGAUCAAACAGAAAAGGCUGCAGACAGACUCCCUGCUGAAUCUUGGCAAGACCAGGAUGUGAACAACUGUAUAUCCCUUGCAAAAUCUUCUCCU